Molecule: ribosomal RNA, 961 nt
Filed under: Bacillus mojavensis
Lineage: Bacteria; Bacillati; Bacillota; Bacilli; Caryophanales; Bacillaceae
Description: bacterial SSU rRNA
Rfam family: Bacterial small subunit ribosomal RNA
Source: RNAcentral
GCAGUCGAGCGGACUGAUGGGAGCUUGGCUUCUCCUGAUGUUUUCGGCGGAGAGGUGAGUAUCACGUGUGUGACCUGCGCGUGUGACAGGGAUAUCUCCCCGGGACCGGGGCUCUUACAGGAGGCUUGUUUGAACCGCGCGGUUCAAACAUAUGAGGUGGCUUCUGCGACCACUUACAGAUAGACCCGCGGCGCGCUAUCUCUUUGGUGAGGUGUUGGCUCUCCACGGCGACGAUACGUAGCCCACAUGAGAGGGUGAGCGGCCACACUGUGACAGAGACACGGCCCACACACCCACAGGAGGCGCCACUAUGGAAUCUUCUGCACUGUGCAAAAGUCUGACAGAGCACCGCCCCGCGAGUGAUGAAAGUGUUCUGAUCUCAUAGCUCUCUUGUGAUGGAAAAAAACGUAUAGUUCAAUUAGGGCGGGACCUUGGCGGGUCCUAACCCAAAAGCCCCGGGUAAAUACCUGCCCACAGCCCCGGUAAUACCUAAGUGGGAAGCGUUUUCCGGAAUUUUUGGGGGUAAAGGGGUCCCAGGGGGUUCUCUUAAUCUGAUGUGAAAACCCCCGGGUCCACCGGGGAGGGGCAUUGGAAACUGGGGAAAUUGAGUGCCAAAAAAGAAAGUGGAAUUCCCCGUGUAGCGGUGAAAUGCGUAAAGAUGUGGAGGAACACCAGUGGCGAAAGCGACUCUUUGGUCUGUAACUGACGCUGAGGAGCGAAAGCGUGGGGAGCGAACAGGAUUAGAUACCCUGGUAGUCCACGCCGUAAACGAUGAGUGCUAAGUGUUAGGGGGUUUCCGCCCCUUAGUGCUGCAGCUAACGCAUUAAGCACUCCGCCUGGGGAGUACGGUCGCAAGACUGAAACUCAAAGGAAUUGACGGGGGCCCGCACAAGCGGUGGAGCAUGUGGUUUAAUUCGAAGCAACGCGAAGAACCUUACCAGGUCUUGACAUCCUCUGACAA